This is a long non-coding RNA of Oreochromis aureus, 418 nucleotides long. NCBI's taxonomy places the organism in Eukaryota, Metazoa, Chordata, Actinopteri, Cichliformes, Cichlidae. The record is from Ensembl.
GGUCUAGAUGAUCACAUCUGUCUUUGUCAUUUAAAUGAGGUGGACUUGCAAACUUUGCACUCUUUUGGAUUUCAAGACAGAGCUUAUUGUUCUCUGAACUUCCUUGUUUGCUGAACGGCAGGUAAAGUGCAUCUUUUUGUUUGUUUGCUUUUGUGUGUUUGUGUUUUCUCUAAUGGGCCUCAGAUGACUGUUUGCUUAAAUUUGGGUCUCAAAGAAUCUUUUUUUCAUUCUGCCUGUACUCUCCACCCCUCUUCUUCUAUUGCUCAGGUUGAAGCAGAAUUUGCCCGUCUUACAUCUGUUGACCUGAAAGGGUUCCUUUUUGCUGUGCUUGACCAUUAUGGAGAGGUUCGUGGAGCUGUACAAAAUCAAGAGCGGCAUAGGAGGGCUGACUAGGCUCAUAAAAUGCUUCAAUGAUGAU